RNAcentral lists this long non-coding RNA (377 nucleotides) under Oryctolagus cuniculus (rabbit). Its description in RNAcentral is "lncRNA (ENSOCUG00000036975.1)". Lineage: Eukaryota; Metazoa; Chordata; Mammalia; Lagomorpha; Leporidae. The record is from RNAcentral.
GCCACCUCAGUCUUUUCAGUAAUUCUCAGGAUAUGGAAGAGAAUCAUGACCCUCUUUUCACCCAGCGAUAUCAGGAAAAAACAACAAACCAUCUAUGCUCACUAUAUAAAUGUAAGGCAGUAAAGAAACUGAUUUAUGCACGAUUUUUGGAAAUACUGAGGCUUUACAAAGUGAAACACAUCGGCAAAGCCUCUAUUUUCCUUGAUAGAAAUCAAACACCUAUCCAAGAGAGUACAUCUAACAUAGAAAAAUUCAGAAAGUGGCAACCACAGGGUGAUUCCAAAAUGCUUGUGCAGACGGCCUUCAGGGUGGUAGAAAUGCUAAUGCUGGCAUUUUCGAUUUGGCGCAUUAUGGGGAAGCCUGAAUAUGAGUUUUAA